Armigeres subalbatus is the source of this 442-nucleotide long non-coding RNA. RefSeq lists it as uncharacterized. The record is from RefSeq and is a predicted model, not a curated record. NCBI's taxonomy places the organism in Eukaryota, Metazoa, Arthropoda, Insecta, Diptera, Culicidae. The transcript is spliced from 3 exons.
UGAGCACUCAUUUCGUCGGUUGUUUUUCUUUUUUGAAUAGAAGAAAUAGAAAAGGUGAAAUGAAAAUCCCCAUCAAGUUGGUAUUCAGACUCAACACCACGGCCUUUGUUUUAUAAGCCCCCAGCGUGACGCCACGAGCACCCGUAGUGGAGCCCUGUGGAGCAGAGCAGGAGCGGAUGCUACGAAUUGUUGCGUAGGCGUAUGAUGCUCGGUAACGCUAGUUCGCUUGGAGUGGAGGGAGGAGUGACGUCACUAGUAACGCGACCAAGAAGGAAAGUCGCUUUCAGAUGGUGUUAGGUCGUGUGUCCCAUCAGGGAUACACACGAUGGAAUCAUCAAGAGUCCAUACAAGCGACGCGCUUCUAAUUAUUCUAAGGAUCAAAGCCGGUAAGAUGGUGUGAAAAAUAAAUUAUUUUCCUUCGAAAUGAAUCCGCGAGAGCCAG